Molecule: long non-coding RNA, 446 nt
Organism: Nycticebus coucang (slow loris)
Lineage: Eukaryota; Metazoa; Chordata; Mammalia; Primates; Lorisidae
Exons: 3
Source: RefSeq, a predicted model, not a curated record
AGCACCAUCUGUCUAACAGGCAAAAUGGAAGAGCAAUAACAGGCUCGGAUAGAAGAAAUUCCAGCCAUUACAUUUUGGAAAUCAACCUAAAUCCUAAUGCUCACUCAGAUCACAGGGCACACAUACCUGCCCAGGGUUUUCCCCUGCAGAACUCACAUUCUUCCAGCUGUUGCUUGCUUUUGAAAGUCACAGAACAGCCACUACAGAGAUAACACUACCAUAAAUUUUGCCUGCCCCAGAAAACCUUCAGAUACAGUCCUGAAUUCGAUCUUCUAGUUUCCACAUGAAACUAAUCAACUUGGAGCUGUUUUGAUGUGUCUCAACAAAGAUGAAGCAGAGAGAGGGAGAACAAAGAAGUAAAUGGAAAAAAUAGAUCUCUCAAGACAUUUACAAACAAGAAGGAUUUGUUUUUUCAUGAGCCAAGAUGGAUUUUGGUAUGUCCUUGC